ACAUACCCUAUAGAUUGGGAUAACUCCGGGAAACCGGGGCUAAUACCGAAUAAUCUCUUUUGCUUCAUGGUGAAAGACUGAAAGACGGUUUCGGCUGUCGCUAUAGGAUGGGCCCGCGGCGCAUUAGCUAGUUGGUGAGGUAACGGCUCACCAAGGCGACGAUGCGUAGCCGACCUGAGAGGGUGAUCGGCCACACUGGGACUGAGACACGGCCCAGACUCCUACGGGAGGCAGCAGUAGGGAAUCUUCCACAAUGGGCGAAAGCCUGAUGGAGCAACGCCGCGUGAGUGAAGAAGGUUUUCGGAUCGUAAAACUCUGUUGUAAGGGAAGAACAAGUACAGUAGUAACUGGUUGUACCUUGACGGUACCUUAUUAGAAAGCCACGGCUAACUACGUGCCAGCAGCCCGCGGUAAUACGUAGGUGGCAAGCGUUGUCCGGAAUUAUUGGGCGUAAAGCGCGCGCAGGCGGUCCUUUAAGUCUGAUGUGAAAGCCCACGGCUCAACCGUGGAGGGUCAUUGGAAACUGGGGGACUUGAGUGCAGAAGAGGAAAGUGGAAUUCCAAGUGUAGCGGUGAAAUGCGUAGAGAUUUGGAGGAACACCAGUGGCGAAGGCGACUUUUCUGGUCUGUAACUGACGCUGAGGCGCGAAAGCGUGGGGAGCAAACAGUAUUAGAUACCCUGUUAGUACACGCCGUAAACGAUGAGUGCUACGUGUUGGGGGGGUUUCCGCCCCUUAGUGCUGCAGCUAACGCAUUAAGCACUCCGCCUGGAGAGUACGGUCGCAGGACUGAAACUCAAAGGUAAUAGACGCGCGCCCGC
This 819-nucleotide ribosomal RNA is filed under the name Lysinibacillus sp. BAB760. RNAcentral describes it as "bacterial SSU rRNA". It matches the Rfam family "Bacterial small subunit ribosomal RNA", at positions 124 to 924 of the family's 1533-position model. Lineage: Bacteria; Bacillati; Bacillota; Bacilli; Caryophanales; Bacillaceae. The record is from RNAcentral.